Sphaerodactylus townsendi is the source of this 2526-nucleotide long non-coding RNA. RefSeq lists it as uncharacterized. The transcript has 2 exons. Lineage: Eukaryota; Metazoa; Chordata; Lepidosauria; Squamata; Sphaerodactylidae. The record is from RefSeq and is a predicted model, not a curated record.
CGGCGAGCGGAGCGGAGCCGAGCGGCUGGAGGCCCCGCAGACCGGGCUGGGGGCGCAUUGCCCGCCGGGCACGAGAAACAUCGAGCCGGCGGGACACGGGUUGGAGAGGCGCGACGGCGCUUCCCGGAGGCUGCCGGGAUUUGUAGUCCGGGGUGUCGCGGAGCCCCGCCCCGCAGGAGCCAGACAAGAGCGGCCCUUGUGCUGCCACCCCCAGCCCUCCCCUGCCGGGCACCUGCAGGGAGGCGCGGCGGCGCUGCUGCUGCUUUGGCCGGGCCAGCCGGGAGGAAGCAUCUGGUCCCAAUUGGGAGCCCCGGCCCCGCCCGGCCCGCCCAGCCCAGCUGCCCUAAGCCGCAGCAACACCGGCCCGGCCCCAAGCCUGCGCUCGCCGCUUCCUCCCCGACGCGCCCCGCACAAAGAGCCUCCUGUUUCGCUUUCUCUCUCUCUCUCUCUUGCGCGCGCCCCCGCAGCUGCCUCUCGGCUCCCCACCUCCGCCGCUCCCGCGCCCUGCCUGCAGCGGCUCCGGGCCGGCCUUCCUCCGAGCUGCCCCCUGGCCUCCCUCCGCCGGACGCGAGUCCCCCUGCGGAGCAUCAGGAGUCGAGUCCCCCUCAAGGUGCCUGCCGCUGCUGCUGCUGCCCAGCUCGCCACUGAGACGAAGAACUGAGACUUUUUACUCGCAGGAAAAAAAAAAUGCUGGGCUAAAAGCAGGAGAAACAGCACCAUCACUUCAGUCUACUUCUACAAGGAGUGUAAAGUCUAAUGCAUGAUUUAGAUUUGGGAAGAAAAAAUCGAUCUGUUGAGCACAGAAAAAUAAAAGGGCUGCAAAUCAUCCGAUACCCACUGAAAUGAUUGUACUCCCCACCCUUGCCAAUGGCAUCUUUGACGUUUAGAAUCCGGACUUGUCGUUGGCGCUUCUGCCGUGACUGCUCCACGAAAGGAGCUGGAGAAGGUUCAUGCAUUGGGGUUGUUCCUCAUAAGCUCUAUGUCUGCCUCCACCAUCUCCUUCACCAGUUUCUGCCAGACAGAAAGAGGACAAAGGACACAUGUUAGGCCUGCUCCAUUUACAACCUCCGUUAUCAAUUUCUAUCUAAUUGACAGGCUGAUUUAAAACAUUGGAGUGCUUUUUGCCCGGACUGUUUAUUGUGCUCUGCAGGCACAACAGACCCAACUUACCCCAAGAUGGAAAGGCGAGGUGGCCUGUCUCAGGUGGCUGACUUUGUGGUCGGGCAGCAAAUUGCCCAUUUAGAUAAACUGUAUAGGUUACAAUAGGGAAGAUGCUAGUUGUUUUUUGGUUUUGGUUCCCUGAGCCUUUGGGGGAGGGCGGUAUAUAAAUAUAAAAAAUAAAUUAAAAAAUCAAAUAAAAAACGUAUGGUUGUUUCUGGCACCGUGAAUGUAUAUUUGGCGGUUAAUUUGUUUUCUUUUCCUACUAAGAAUUGUGGGUUGUUCCCAACGUACCAUGAGUAGCACUUUUUGCCACAUUGGCCCCUGCUUCAGGGGACCUCCAGGAACACUGCUGGCCAUGAUGUAUACAUGGGGGGAGGGAUUUGAAGUAGGAAGACUCAGCAAAAAUUACCACCACCCCCUCCAUGGAUAAGAACAUAAGAACAAGCCAGCUGGAUCAGACCAGAGUCCAUCUAGUCCAGCUCUCUGCUACUCGCAGUGGCCCACCAAGUGCCAUUGGGAGCUCACAUGCAGGAUGUGAAAGCAAUGGCCUUCUGCGGCUGUUGCUCCUGAUCACCUGGUCUGUCUUUUUGCAGGAACAAAUUUGGGUAGAUUGGGCCAAUUGCAGUUCUCUCAGAACUCUCUCUGCCUCGGCUACUUCACAAGUUCUAGCUGUGGGAGAGAUGGCAAUUGUAAGCCUUUUAAAGAAUCCUUACAGUAGAGAAAAGGAGGCACAAAAAGCAACUUUUUCUUCUCCUUUGACAUGUUGCAUUCUCCCAGUGCACAAAUUCUGUUCUUAGAAUAAAGUGGUUACCUUCUCUCAGCUCGUUUAUUAAUUGUUGUGGUGAUAGUUGUAAUGUACUUUUGCAAGAUUCACCAGCCUUUAAUGUACACUGCAUAUAACACAACCGACAACUUCUCUCUUCCCCAAUGCCAGCAUCGUUUUGUAAAAGAGCUGUUACAUGUUUUGAACUUCUUAACGACAGGUAGCUUAAACAUAUGGAGCUAAGGUAUGUAACUCUGUUGGGAAUUGCAUUGCAGAUCACUUAAAACUGGCUGGAUUUUGUCUGUACUUAGAAAUAAGCACCAUUAAAAUCAACAUAUCUUGUGUGUAAAUACAUUAAUGAUGGAGUGGAAGUAAGCAGUCUGAAUCAGGUUUAUAUGGGAGCAAGGUGUACUGUUUGUUGGGCUUCAUAAAAUAAGCUUAUUUACAUCCCGUGGGAAAAUGCUAAAAUCUUGUUUCCUGUAGAUAGUUCUUGGAUAGUUUACACUUAAACAGAGUAAAUGUCUGGCAACCGCAGUGGCAGUUUGCAUGUCUUCGCUAUACAGAAGUUCCUGAAUUUUGAAAAUAAAAAAUUUAAGGAUUUU